Molecule: ribosomal RNA, 509 nt
Filed under: uncultured bacterium
Lineage: Bacteria
Description: bacterial SSU rRNA
Rfam family: Bacterial small subunit ribosomal RNA
Source: RNAcentral
CUACGUGCCAGCAGCCGCGGUAAUACGUAGGUGGCAAGCGUUGUCCGGAAUUAUUGGGCGUAAAGCGCGCGCAGGCGGAUUGGUCAGUCUGUCUUAAAAGUUCGGGGCUUAACCCCGUGAUGGGAUGGAAACUGCUGAUCUAGAGUAUCGGAGAGGAAAGUGGAAUUCCUAGUGUAGCGGUGAAAUGCGUAGAUAUUAGGAAGAACACCAGUGGCGAAGGCGACUUUCUGGACGAAAACUGACGCUGAGGCGCGAAAGCCAGGGGAGCGAACGGGAUUAGAUACCCCGGUAGUCCUGGCCGUAAACGAUGGGUACUAGGUGUAGGAGGUAUCGACCCCUUCUGUGCCGGAGUUAACGCAAUAAGUACCCCGCCUGGGGAGUACGACCGCAAGGUUGAAACUCAAAGGAAUUGACGGGGGCCCGCACAAGCGGUGGAGUAUGUGGUUUAAUUCGACGCAACGCGAAGAACCUUACCAGGUCUUGACAUUGAUGGACAGAACUAGAGAUAG